This 492-nucleotide ribosomal RNA is filed under the name uncultured bacterium. RNAcentral's name for it is "partial 16S ribosomal RNA". It matches the Rfam family "Bacterial small subunit ribosomal RNA", at positions 29 to 507 of the family's 1533-position model. The record is from RNAcentral.
AGUGAACGCUGGCGGUAGGCCUAACACAUGCAAGUCGAACGGCAGCACAGUAAGAGCUUGCUCUUACGGGUGGCGAGUGGCGGACGGGUGAGGAAUACAUCGGAAUCUACUUUUUCGUGGGGGAUAAGGAGGGGAAACUUACGCUAAAACGCAAUAGGCCCAACGGUGAAAACCAGGGGUCCUUGGGACCUUGCCCGAUGAAAUAGCCCGAUGUCGGAUUAGCUAGUUGGCGGGGUAAGGGCCCACCAAGGCGACGAUCCGUAGCUGGUCUGAGAGGAUGAUCAGCCACACUGGAACUGAGACACGGUCCAGACUCCUACGGGAGGCAGCAGUGGGGAAUAUUGGACAAUGGGCGCAAGCCUGAUCCAGCCAUACCGCGUGGGUGAAGAAGGCCUUCGGGUUGUAAAGCCCUUUUGUUGGGAAAGAAAAGCAGCAGGUUAAUACCCCACUGUUCUGACGGUACCCAAAGAAUAAGCACCGGCUAACUUCGUG